Molecule: transfer RNA, 74 nt
Filed under: Actinomyces respiraculi
Lineage: Bacteria; Bacillati; Actinomycetota; Actinomycetes; Actinomycetales; Actinomycetaceae
Rfam family: tRNA
About the family: Transfer RNA (tRNA) molecules are approximately 80 nucleotides in length. Their secondary structure includes four short double-helical elements and three loops (D, anti-codon, and T loops).
Source: Rfam by way of RNAcentral
CGGGGUGUAGCGCAGCUUGGUAGCGCGCCUGCUUUGGGGGCAGGAGACCGCGGGUUCAAAUCCCGCCACCCCGA